This 347-nucleotide RNase P RNA is filed under the name Plasticicumulans acidivorans. RNAcentral's name for it is "gamma proteobacterium TUD-JY37 Bacterial RNase P class A". It matches the Rfam family "Bacterial RNase P class A". Rfam says of the family: Ribonuclease P (RNase P) is a ubiquitous endoribonuclease, found in archaea, bacteria and eukarya as well as chloroplasts and mitochondria. Its best characterised activity is the generation of mature 5'-ends of tRNAs by cleaving the 5'-leader elements of precursor-tRNAs. Lineage: Bacteria; Pseudomonadati; Pseudomonadota; Gammaproteobacteria; Candidatus Competibacteraceae. The record is from Rfam by way of RNAcentral.
GAAGUCGGCUGGACGGUCGCUGCCCAUUCGGGUGGAGGAAAGUCCGGGCUCCAUAGGGCAGGGCGCCAGGUAACACCUGGGGGGCGUGAGCCUACGGAAAGUGCCACAGAAAACAGACCGCCAAAGCCCGUCAGGGCUGGUAAGGGUGAAAAGGUGCGGUAAGAGCGCACCGCGGCGCUGGUAACAGUCGCUGGCACGGUAAACCCCGCUCGGAGCAAGACCAAAUAGGGGAGCAUGACGUGUGGCCCGCACGGCUCCCGGGUAGGUCGCUACAGGCGUCCCGGUGACGGGCGUCGCAGAUGAAUGAUCGUUCUCGACAGAACCCGGCUUAUAGGCCGACUUCCUCU